GAAGGAGCUGGGGUGAGACACAGAGAGAGACCAGGCUUCAGGGACCCUAGUGGAGUCCAUGGGGUCAACAUCCCUGAUGUCCUUGUCCAUGUGCUCCCUGCCCUGGGGAUCGUGCUGACCCUGAGCCUCACUCUGAUCCUGGAGAAGCAGUGGAGCAGUGGGGACAGUUGAAGACAGUCCCCAGGGAGGAGGCACAGCAGACAUUCCCACAGUCACAGGAGUGAUUAUAGCUGGAUGACUGUUCCCUCCAUGUGGGAAUCUCUCAGCCACAGACAGUGUAUCCAUGUUCCUUGCAUCAGACCCCACAUGCUGCUUCAUACAGUCUUUCAUGUCACAGCUGAAGGAUGUCCUGCAGUCGUCACCAGAACCACAAGGGCAGGGCCCGACCUUGACAUUGGUUAUGGAGAGGCUGAGACCCUCACAACACAGGACCUUCUGUUCCUGAAGGGACAACCCUGGCUCCCACCCUCUG
Molecule: long non-coding RNA, 472 nt
Organism: Canis lupus familiaris (dog)
Lineage: Eukaryota; Metazoa; Chordata; Mammalia; Carnivora; Canidae
Exons: 3
Source: RefSeq, a predicted model, not a curated record